GCCAUAGCUCAGCGGCAGAGCAUCUGCCUUGCAUGCAGAAGUUCCCCGGUUCAGUUCCCGGCAUCUACA
Molecule: non-coding RNA, 69 nt
Organism: Podarcis lilfordi (Lilford's wall lizard)
Lineage: Eukaryota; Metazoa; Chordata; Lepidosauria; Squamata; Lacertidae
Source: the annotation of a GenBank genome assembly